AGAAGAAGGAAACAUAAGGUUGGAGAAUUCUACGGAAGAAAAAGACGAAGAAGCGGUGGAAUAGAUGCUUCUUCCACUAAUAUAGAUGCCUCAAAUGAUAAAUUCAAAAGUAAUGAAAAUGCAGAAGGUGAAAUAGAGGAUCAGAGGAUGAACAGAGAAUGAAACACCGGCACGACCGAUACACCUAUAUUGAAGGAAGAGACAUCUCAUACUGUUGAGUCCUCUCCAGCCAGUCCUUCACCCGGUACCUCACUUGUCA
RNAcentral lists this long non-coding RNA (259 nucleotides) under Capsicum annuum. RNAcentral's name for it is "long non-coding RNA (CANN_LNC000631)". Lineage: Eukaryota; Viridiplantae; Streptophyta; Magnoliopsida; Solanales; Solanaceae. The record is from RNAcentral.